UUGAAGCCCAGCUGCCCAGCAUGGUGAUGGCGGUCGGUGGAUGGAACACGGACCAGGGAGGGCCAAGGGCUCUUCAACCUCUUCGACUUUGAGACUUCAAUGGGGAAAUUGGGAAAGUCAGGAGAUAGAAGAGUGAAGAGAAGAGGAAGAGCCAAAGAGGAUGGGUUUAAGGGUUUAAUGGGAUUAAAAGGAUAGAGGUCUGACCUUGGCUCUGGCAAGGUGUUGAAGCGCAGCUCCCAGCACGGCAAUACGGCAGCACGAUGUUGAAGCCUCCGCUCUCUGGCAAUAAAGUUCAAAACCCUAAAGAGGAAAAGAAAAGAUUAAGGAAUACUAAGACUUGAGAUCUAGAGGAAGGGGAUUUGGAGGAUCCUUACCCAAAACGAUGUACGAUGAUGGCCGAAGACAGGAAGACAAUGUCAGUGAUGGUCGAUGACAAUGAGAGAAGAUGGAGGAUCGAUGUCACGGAUCAAGGACAGAACACGCCAAAAGGGGAAGACGGAAGAUCUGUCGACAAAUAGGGGAAGACGAUGAUGGCGGUCGGUGGAUAGAACAUGGACCAGGGAUGGAUGAUCGACUUUGACAGAUGGGGAAGAAUUGAAGAUGGAGAAGAGAAGAGGAAGAGCGGAAGUGAGAAGUCUGA
RNAcentral lists this long non-coding RNA (640 nucleotides) under Elaeis guineensis (African oil palm). RNAcentral's name for it is "long non-coding RNA (EGUI_LNC074926)". The record is from RNAcentral. Lineage: Eukaryota; Viridiplantae; Streptophyta; Magnoliopsida; Arecales; Arecaceae.